AUUGAACGCUGGCGGCAGGCCUAACACAUGCAAGUCGAGCGGAUGAAGGGAGCUUGCUCCUGGAUUCAGCGGCGGACGGGUGAGUAAUGCCUAGGAAUCUGCCUGGUAGUGGGGGAUAACGUCCGGAAACGGGCGCUAAUACCGCAUACGUCCUGAGGGAGAAAGUGGGGGAUCUUCGGACCUCACGCUAUCAGAUGAGCCUAGGUCGGAUUAGCUAGUUGGUGGGGUAAAGGCCUACCAAGGCGACGAUCCGUAACUGGUCUGAGAGGAUGAUCAGUCACACGGGAACUGAGACACGGUCCAGACUCCUACGGGAGGCGGCAGUGGGGAAUAUUGGACAAUGGGCGAAAGCAUGGUCCAGCCAGGCCGCGUGUGUGAAGAAGGUCUUCGGAUUGUAAAGCACUUUAAGUUGGGAGGAAGGGCAGUAAGUUAAUACCUUGUUGUUUUGACGUUACCAACAGAAUAAGCACCGGCUAACUUCGUG
RNAcentral lists this ribosomal RNA (484 nucleotides) under uncultured bacterium. Its description in RNAcentral is "partial 16S ribosomal RNA". It matches the Rfam family "Bacterial small subunit ribosomal RNA", at positions 30 to 507 of the family's 1533-position model. The record is from RNAcentral.